UUGAUUAUUAGAAGCUUACUCAGAGAUUCAAAAUAAACAGAGUUUAGUAUGUCCACCGGCGGGCUACAGGGUAGGUCGUUAUAGGAUAGCUACAGGGUAGCUUGGCCCGAGACACUACCUCACAGCUUGCGCCGAGGCAACAAAGAGAUAUGUUCACAAUGGUUUGGAGUUAGAUAACUCAGUAAUGAUCCCUCCGCUGGUUCACCAACGGAGA
This 214-nucleotide unclassified non-coding RNA is filed under the name uncultured fungus. RNAcentral's name for it is "sequence contains ITS1". The record is from RNAcentral. Lineage: Eukaryota; Fungi.